GAGAUACAAAUUUUUCCGAUGGUAUGAUCACUUGGCGGAUCAACUUUAUGUUGCUUGGGCCCUCUUCUUCAAAAGCUUUAGCUAAGUAUUAGUAACAAACAUCCCUUGAGUGGAAUAGCUAUCAUCACUCUGAUCGUUAUUCAAAUACUGAGUUCUGCUUCAAGGAAUAAGGAGUUCUGCUGUAGCGAAGCAUGGUCAAACCUAUCAGUUGUCUUGUUGUUAUCUGAACUAUAGUGAAUUAUGAGAAGAGAACAUGUUGUAAUAACAAUUAUGUGUGUCUCAUGUUGUUAAGAAGCCUUUUGAUGAAUGGUGUUCCAUGUGAUAUAUGAAGGUACACAGUAAAAAGAUAUUAUAUGUCUCUGUAUUUAAAGAUUUCAGGUAUCAAAACUUGAAACUUGCAACAUAGUGAAUCAAAUCAAAUAUCAAAUACCAAACAAUCUAAUAGUAACAUUCUGUUUUGA
Neltuma alba is the source of this 461-nucleotide long non-coding RNA. RefSeq lists it as uncharacterized. The transcript has 2 exons. NCBI's taxonomy places the organism in Eukaryota, Viridiplantae, Streptophyta, Magnoliopsida, Fabales, Fabaceae. The record is from RefSeq and is a predicted model, not a curated record.